This 2892-nucleotide ribosomal RNA is filed under the name human gut metagenome. RNAcentral describes it as "bacterial LSU rRNA". It matches the Rfam family "Bacterial large subunit ribosomal RNA". The record is from RNAcentral.
ACUAAGCGUACACGGUGGAUGCCCUGGCAGUCAGAGGCGAUGAAGGACGUGCUAAUCUGCGAUAAGCGUCGGUAAGGUGAUAUGAACCGUUAUAACCGGCGAUUUCCGAAUGGGGAAACCCAGUGUGAUUCGUCACACUAUCAUUAACUGAAUCCAUAGGUUAAUGAGGCGAACCGGGGGAACUGAAACAUCUAAGUACCCCGAGGAAAAGAAAUCAACCGAGAUUCCCCCAGUAGCGGCGAGCGAACGGGGAGCAGCCCAGAGCCUGAAUCAGUGUGUGUGUUAGUGGAAGCGUCUGGAAAGGCGCGCGAUACAGGGUGACAGCCCCGUACACAAAAAUGCACAUGCUGUGAGCUCGAUGAGUAGGGCGGGACACGUGGUAUCCUGUCUGAAUAUGGGGGGACCAUCCUCCAAGGCUAAAUACUCCUGACUGACCGAUAGUGAACCAGUACCGUGAGGGAAAGGCGAAAAGAACCCCGGCGAGGGGAGUGAAAAAGAACCUGAAACCGUGUACGUACAAGCAGUGGGAGCACGCUUAGGCGUGUGACUGCGUACCUUUUGUAUAAUGGGUCAGCGACUUAUAUUCUGUAGCAAGGUUAACCGAAUAGGGGAGCCGAAGGGAAACCGAGUCUUAACUGGGCGUUAAGUUGCAGGGUAUAGACCCGAAACCCGGUGAUCUAGCCAUGGGCAGGUUGAAGGUUGGGUAACACUAACUGGAGGACCGAACCGACUAAUGUUGAAAAAUUAGCGGAUGACUUGUGGCUGGGGGUGAAAGGCCAAUCAAACCGGGAGAUAGCUGGUUCUCCCCGAAAGCUAUUUAGGUAGCGCCUCGUGAAUUCAUCUCCGGGGGUAGAGCACUGUUUCGGCAAGGGGGUCAUCCCGACUUACCAACCCGAUGCAAACUGCGAAUACCGGAGAAUGUUAUCACGGGAGACACACGGCGGGUGCUAACGUCCGUCGUGAAGAGGGAAACAACCCAGACCGCCAGCUAAGGUCCCAAAGUCAUGGUUAAGUGGGAAACGAUGUGGGAAGGCCCAGACAGCCAGGAUGUUGGCUUAGAAGCAGCCAUCAUUUAAAGAAAGCGUAAUAGCUCACUGGUCGAGUCGGCCUGCGCGGAAGAUGUAACGGGGCUAAACCAUGCACCGAAGCUGCGGCAGCGACACUAUGUGUUGUUGGGUAGGGGAGCGUUCUGUAAGCCUGCGAAGGUGUGCUGUGAGGCAUGCUGGAGGUAUCAGAAGUGCGAAUGCUGACAUAAGUAACGAUAAAGCGGGUGAAAAGCCCGCUCGCCGGAAGACCAAGGGUUCCUGUCCAACGUUAAUCGGGGCAGGGUGAGUCGACCCCUAAGGCGAGGCCGAAAGGCGUAGUCGAUGGGAAACAGGUUAAUAUUCCUGUACUUGGUGUUACUGCGAAGGGGGGACGGAGAAGGCUAUGUUGGCCGGGCGACGGUUGUCCCGGUUUAAGCGUGUAGGCUGGUUUUCCAGGCAAAUCCGGAAAAUCAAGGCUGAGGCGUGAUGACGAGGCACUACGGUGCUGAAGCAACAAAUGCCCUGCUUCCAGGAAAAGCCUCUAAGCAUCAGGUAACAUCAAAUCGUACCCCAAACCGACACAGGUGGUCAGGUAGAGAAUACCAAGGCGCUUGAGAGAACUCGGGUGAAGGAACUAGGCAAAAUGGUGCCGUAACUUCGGGAGAAGGCACGCUGAUAUGUAGGUGAAGCGACUUGCUCGUGGAGCUGAAAUCAGUCGAAGAUACCAGCUGGCUGCAACUGUUUAUUAAAAACACAGCACUGUGCAAACACGAAAGUGGACGUAUACGGUGUGACGCCUGCCCGGUGCCGGAAGGUUAAUUGAUGGGGUCAGCGCAAGCGAAGCUCUUGAUCGAAGCCCCGGUAAACGGCGGCCGUAACUAUAACGGUCCUAAGGUAGCGAAAUUCCUUGUCGGGUAAGUUCCGACCUGCACGAAUGGCGUAAUGAUGGCCAGGCUGUCUCCACCCGAGACUCAGUGAAAUUGAACUCGCUGUGAAGAUGCAGUGUACCCGCGGCAAGACGGAAAGACCCCGUGAACCUUUACUAUAGCUUGACACUGAACAUUGAGCCUUGAUGUGUAGGAUAGGUGGGAGGCUUUGAAGUGUGGACGCCAGUCUGCAUGGAGCCGACCUUGAAAUACCACCCUUUAAUGUUUGAUGUUCUAACGUUGACCCGUGAUCCGGGUUGCGGACAGUGUCUGGUGGGUAGUUUGACUGGGGCGGUCUCCUCCUAAAGAGUAACGGAGGAGCACGAAGGUUGGCUAAUCCUGGUCGGACAUCAGGAGGUUAGUGCAAUGGCAUAAGCCAGCUUGACUGCGAGCGUGACGGCGCGAGCAGGUGCGAAAGCAGGUCAUAGUGAUCCGGUGGUUCUGAAUGGAAGGGCCAUCGCUCAACGGAUAAAAGGUACUCCGGGGAUAACAGGCUGAUACCGCCCAAGAGUUCAUAUCGACGGCGGUGUUUGGCACCUCGAUGUCGGCUCAUCACAUCCUGGGGCUGAAGUAGGUCCCAAGGGUAUGGCUGUUCGCCAUUUAAAGUGGUACGCGAGCUGGGUUUAGAACGUCGUGAGACAGUUCGGUCCCUAUCUGCCGUGGGCGCUGGAGAACUGAGGGGGGCUGCUCCUAGUACGAGAGGACCGGAGUGGACGCAUCACUGGUGUUCGGGUUGUCAUGCCAAUGGCACUGCCCGGUAGCUAAAUGCGGAAGAGAUAAGUGCUGAAAGCAUCUAAGCACGAAACUUGCCCCGAGAUGAGUUCUCCCUGACUCCUUGAGAGUCCUGAAGGAACGUUGAAGACGACGACGUUGAUAGGCCGGGUGUGUAAGCGCAGCGAUGCGUUGAGCUAACCGGUACUAAUGAACCGUGAGGCUUAACC